GGGCCGUUAUCUCAAAUGGCUAGAGCGACCGGCUCAUAACCGGUAACAUCUCGGUUCGAGUCCGAGACGGCCCA
This 74-nucleotide transfer RNA is filed under the name Caudoviricetes sp. Its description in RNAcentral is "tRNA-Met". It matches the Rfam family "tRNA". Rfam says of the family: Transfer RNA (tRNA) molecules are approximately 80 nucleotides in length. Their secondary structure includes four short double-helical elements and three loops (D, anti-codon, and T loops). Lineage: Duplodnaviria; Heunggongvirae; Uroviricota; Caudoviricetes. The record is from RNAcentral.